This 253-nucleotide ribosomal RNA is filed under the name uncultured bacterium. RNAcentral's name for it is "partial 16S ribosomal RNA". It matches the Rfam family "Bacterial small subunit ribosomal RNA", at positions 524 to 776 of the family's 1533-position model. The record is from RNAcentral.
UACGUAGGGGGCAAGCGUUGUCCGGAUUUAUUGGGCGUAAAGAGCGUGUAGGCGGCCAGGUAGGUCUGCUGUGAAAACUCGAGGCUUAACCUCGAGAUGUCGGCGGAAACCAUCUGGCUAGAGUCCGGAAGAGGAGAGCGGAAUUCCUGGUGUAGCGGUGAAAUGCGCAGAUAUCAGGAAGAACACCAAUGGCGAAGGCAGCUCUCUGGGACGGUACUGACGCUGAGACGCGAAAGCGUGGGGAGCGAACAGG